This 93-nucleotide small nucleolar RNA is filed under the name Dichanthelium oligosanthes. RNAcentral's name for it is "Plant small nucleolar RNA R71". It matches the Rfam family "Plant small nucleolar RNA R71", at positions 8 to 100 of the family's 107-position model. Rfam says of the family: R71 is a member of the C/D box family of snoRNAs containing the C (UGAUGA) and D (CUGA) box motifs. Multiple nearly identical copies of this snoRNA have been identified in Arabidopsis, and it is thought to function as a 2'-O-ribose methylation guide for 18S ribosomal RNA. The record is from Rfam by way of RNAcentral. Lineage: Eukaryota; Viridiplantae; Streptophyta; Magnoliopsida; Poales; Poaceae.
GAUGAGGGCAGGCUGUGAUGUAAUUCUGAAGUCAUUCCCAGGCUUCUAAAACGGAUUCGUCAUAAUUCUGCUGGAAAGUUGAGAUAUGAUUUC